AAGACUUUAAGUUAAAAUAAACUAAAAACCUUCAAAGUUUUAAAUGAAUUUUGUUCAAGUCUUG
RNAcentral lists this transfer RNA (64 nucleotides) under Drawida japonica. RNAcentral describes it as "tRNA-Trp". Lineage: Eukaryota; Metazoa; Annelida; Clitellata; Moniligastrida; Moniligastridae. The record is from RNAcentral.